Molecule: long non-coding RNA, 1069 nt
Organism: Oreochromis aureus
Lineage: Eukaryota; Metazoa; Chordata; Actinopteri; Cichliformes; Cichlidae
Source: Ensembl
CUGCCGUCCAGCCAACUCACGCUCUUGGAUUGGCUUAGACAUUCCACUUUGAGUUGACUCCUCGGGAGGUGGAUGGCUCGAUGUCCCAGCUGAAUCCCUCACACACACUCGAGGCAAAAGCGUAACACUAGCAGGAGCACCCUCAGAGAAAAUAGGCUGAACACCCAAAACUGCCUCAAGCCCAGAAUCAACGCGACGGAAGAGGCUGGAUAAGAGGACACAGAAGUGCGGGAGUGAGAGUGAAUGGAGAACUUUCCUGAAGAUUGCUGCUAUUCUCCGGCUUAUUGCCUCCUGUCCUUCAUGGUUUCACAUGACGUCCCGGGUGUCAGGAUCGCCUUCAAGCUGGAAAUGAGGAAAGUGAUGAUACCAGUGGGCUGGGAUCAGAAAAGAGGAAAUUGGCUAAGCGACUACUUUCUGGGCAGACUCCUGUAACUGGCUAAUUAGCAAAGCUGGAAACGUCCCAUUACUCCCUUAACUGAGAUCUGUUUGUUGCAUUUGUAUGUGGAGAAGAAGCAUAAUUAUAUGCACACAUCACAUGCAGGUGCAGGACUAUUGUAAAGAGCAACUGGUGAGAGGAUCAACACCUGCACUCGGACGCCAUGCUACAAAUUUAAAUAGGCAUUUAAAUAGACUUUUUGAUAUCAGGUCUGCAUUCGUCUGUGUGUUUUGACGUUAAAAGAUUUAGUGAAAUGAGAAAAUGUAAAUAACUUGGGGGUGAAAUUCAUCUGCAGUUUUAUUUGCAUAUGUAUGCUUUUUUGUAAAGUCUGUUCUUUCUAAAAAAUGAAACCAGUGAAUGAACAGUAUCCCUCGAAGAGCCAUGUGAGCUCCAGAUUUGGACACAACCUUGAUGUUGUGAUCCUGAAGCUACCGGAGUUUAUCCUCUCGGCAUCUGGCUGCGAGGUAGAGGGGACCGAGAGAAAGCAUCUGUGGGGUCUCGUCCUCACCCCCCUUCCCAGAGACGAGCCGAACAACACUUGGCGCUGGCCCAGUGAUGAGGUGGCUGGAGUAUUAACUCCAACUUCCCCAAAGUGGAAGGUUAAAACCCUUUCACAGUGUCCUCCCUCCCUCC